AACUGAUACUACCUGCGGGAACCUGCGGAGGGAUCAUUACCGAGUGAGGGCCCUCUGGGUCCAACCUCCCACCCGUGUUUAUCGUACCUUGUUGCUUCGGCGGGCCCGCCAUUCUGGCCGCCGGGGAGCACUCGCUGCUCCCGGGCCCGCGCCCGCCGAAGACACCAUUGAACACUGUCUGAAGUUUGCAGUCUGAGAAAUUACUUUAAUUAGUUAAAACUUUUAGCAAUGGAUCUCUAG
Molecule: unclassified non-coding RNA, 240 nt
Filed under: soil metagenome
Description: partial contains 5.8S ribosomal RNA, internal transcribed spacer 2, and large subunit ribosomal RNA
Source: RNAcentral